Molecule: transfer RNA, 136 nt
Filed under: Bacteriophage sp.
Description: tRNA-OTHER
Source: RNAcentral
UGGCCGUUGGCGAAAUUGGUAGACGCAAGGGUUAACGUACUCGUCACUUUUGUCCGGAUGGAAUGUAGACGGGUUUACAUUUUAAAUUGGAAACUUAAAACACCCUAUUUUGCAGGUUCAACUCCUGCACGGCCAG